UACGGAGGGUGCAAGCGUUGCUCGGAAUCACUGGGCGUAAAGCGACCGCAGGCGGCCUGACAAGUCGGAUGUGAAAGCCCUGGGCUCAACCCAGGAACUGCACCUGAAACUACCAGUCUUGAGUGGUGGAGAGGGAAGUGGAAUUCCUGGUGUAGAGGUGAAAUUCGUAGAUAUCAGGAGGAACACCAGUGGCGAAGGCGGCUUCCUGGACACCAACUGACGCUGAGACGCGAAAGCGUGGGGAGCAAACAGG
This 253-nucleotide ribosomal RNA is filed under the name uncultured bacterium. RNAcentral describes it as "partial 16S ribosomal RNA". It matches the Rfam family "Bacterial small subunit ribosomal RNA", at positions 524 to 776 of the family's 1533-position model. The record is from RNAcentral.